RNAcentral lists this long non-coding RNA (4841 nucleotides) under Homo sapiens (human). RNAcentral describes it as "HSALNT0010933". The record is from RNAcentral. Lineage: Eukaryota; Metazoa; Chordata; Mammalia; Primates; Hominidae.
UGCGCCUGGCCCGGCGACUGCGGGCGCUGCGGUCCACUGGGUCCGCCUCUUCCCGGCAUGGGUUUCUGCCCAGCUCACCCGCUGUCAGCUGGGGUCCUGCUCUGGUGGGAGGAAGAGGCUCAGACGCUUCCCUGCCCUCUCGCCUCAACCACCUCGAGGCAGCGGCUCCCAGGAUGUGCACUUUGACGACUAAAGCUGAGCCGGCGCCGCCACGACCUUGGGCGGGUGGUCGGCCUCUGCCCUGAGCAGGAAGUAGAAAGUCUCAGCAGACCCUUCCUGAGGGCCGAGCAACAGUGUAGUGGCGUAUUCCACAUAGCAAACAGGGACCCUGGGAGCAUCUGUGUUCUCGUGUUCUUCUUGCCUGUGAGGCCUCUUCUCUCUGAGGACAGAUGGUAGGACAGAGAGAAGACAGCAAAUGGAAAACAAAGGCUGCUAUUUUUUUGUGGGGCAGCAUUUCUUCCUGUGACAAUAUGGUGUAAGACAAAAUUGUGGCCUGCCAUGAAGUUGUGAGAGAAAAGCAUCCCUCAUUUCUUCAGGAAAGGCCACUGCCGUUCCCUCCGGCUCCUCUUCUCAGGAGUUUGUGCAUUCAUGAGGUGAAUUCCUUGGAAGAUGAGGGCCAAGUCUUAUUCUUCUCAGUCUCUUCUGCAUCUAGCAGAAGAAUAAUGGUUGCACAGAAAAUCUUGGUUCAGUGGUUGAGUGAAUGAAUGGAUGAACAGGCUCUUGCACACAAAGAAGAGACAUGAUGUAUUUGCAUCCUUCCCUGCUUCAGCCAGUUUUCUGAAGCUCAGAGGGACACCUUGUAUUGCUGGAUGAUAAAAACAGGAGCAAAGUGAUGAAGUGCUGACAAGGCAACAAUAGAACAUGAGAGAUUCACUGCUGUGUAGGAAGAGAUCUUCGGUGACCAUGUAGCCUGAAGCUCUCAUUUUGUCAUCGAGGGACACCAAAACUCAGAACAGGUGAAGAACUAAUGUUGACGGAAGUUAAGCAACCUUUCCCAAAGUCUCAUAGUGAUGAGGUCUCCAAGGGACCAGAUGGAGAACAGAUGCAACCACACUGAAGUCAGAAUCGCAGCUUGCCUCCGACACCUGACGCUUCACUGUUGGCGAGGCCCACUAUGCCUCGCUCUCCCCCUGUAAUGAGUUCUAUCCCAGAGGCUCCUAUACCCUUUAGAAAUAAACUGCUCAGGCAGCCCAACCAGUUCAUCCAAGAGGCCUGGAACCACAGCAGCGUCGACAGCUGAGAUGAGAGUUGGUCCCUGAUCUGAUACAGAGCCUGGGUUUAGCUUUGAUUUCUCUCUUCCUAGGCAAGAUCUUUAGAGAAUAACUUUUUGUGCCUGGCCAUCUCCUGCUCUUUUCUCAACCCAAAAGGGCUAUGUUCACCUAAAGAGGAAAAGCAAGAAGGCUUCCUGGGCUCGGGAGGUCAGGGCUGGAAAGAACUGCUCACCAUUUCUGAGCCGAUGAGGACUCACCUGGGCUCCUCACUGGUCAGGGAACUGUGGCCCAGCCGCAGAGUGAUUGCUUUGUCAAGAAGGGAAACAUUUACCUUUCCUUCUUCCCUCUGCUCUCUCCUAAUUAACAAUUAAAUGGAAGGAGUUGAAAAGACAUGUCAGAGACUUCAAUCUCCUCCCGGCCUGAGGAUGAAGGGGGCUCGAACCUGAAUGUUCUCUUCGCUGUGGCCAGAACCUAGGGGGCUGGGGUUGCUGCCAGCUCGACUGGAGGCCUGCUUCCAGCCCCAGGCUGUGGUGAGGGGCCUCACAGAUUUCACAAACAGGAGGGCGGCUGACCAAGCGCCAAACUAUUUAGACAAACACACACCCUCCCUUCCCGCCAGAGUUUGGGCUGAUUUCUCCCAAUGCUAAUGAACAGCUCAUAAGUAUUAAUAGACUCCUUGGCACCUAGGAGUCAGGCAGAGUAACUUCCAGUGUGAAUUUUGGCCAAGGACCCUGAUGCAGCCUCAGGAUCUUCCAAGCCCCUGUUGAGUCCAGGGGGCAUGAGACACACAGGGAGGCUGGGGCUGCUCCCAGGAAGCAGGCUCACAAGAGCCAGACAGGCUCCCACAGACAGCUUUUAGGUCACAGAAACCUCUGCCUGCCAGGUAGGCAUGAACACAGAAACCCUCCCAAAUCCUCAGACUGUGGAGCACACUCCAGGUGAGCCAGGAUCAAUCCCUGGUCUCAGAGAACACUUAGAUGGGGGUGAAAAGCAGGAACUGAGAGCUUCCCACCCAGCACCUGUCCCUGCUACCAGCUAAACCUGUGUCGGUCAGUGCAGGAAUUGUACAGGUGAUGCUCUGAGCCUGUGCUGAGGCCAUGUAUGGACUGAGGAAACCUCACUGUGUGUAUGUAAAGUUAAUUCAAACCUAUUUCCCUGAGUGCUUACAUAUUUUCAUAAGGAAAGUUCUGUUAGGAGAGCUGCCUGAAACAACACCUCUGCCUGUGCUCCCACUUUCUCCCGCUGGUGUGGGGAGGAGAGGCUGACAUCGCUGGGUCCACGUUCCUCUGCCCUGGGUGGGGUAUUAAUGCUGCCAUUCCCACGCUGCCUGCUGUUUCCCCUCAUCCUCAGGAGGGCUGGUCUCUGUGCUGCAGGCAGCUCCACCAGGCCUGGGAGCAUGACACCGUCUGCCAAUGCCUUGCCCAGGUCCACUGGCCUCACCCUUCCGCAGGCCUGCGCCUUCUGUGACUCUCUGCCUCAGCAAUUUCUCUGGAUUUCUUUGUCCUCAGGAAUGUGCUGGGGCCACAGGCAGGUCAGGCCAGGCUUUCUGGGGAGUGAAUGCUCUCUGCCAGUGGCGGAUGGAACUGGUAGACACGUCCCCCGGAUUCCUCGCCUGCAAGUGGGAUGGUGCCAGGAAAGUUCUACACCAUCCUUCCCAGGUCCCAGGAGGACAAGCACAGUUGUCCACAAGGGAACCAAGAGGAUGUUGAAAAAUCCUGGUUGGAUCUGAACUUGGAAACAAAUUUGAGGAAUCUAUUUUACUUAAUCCUACUGAAAAAUUCCCUAAUGAGUUAAAGAAGAACAAAGUAAAAGAAGAUAAAAAAGCAGUUGGUACUUGAAAUGAAGAUCAAAUCAUCAAGUCCUAUAUGUCACCCACAGAUCUGAGAUCACUGACUCCCAGAGACACCCAGUUUCUCAGUGUCAGUACACACUGCCUGGGUUAGUAAGCACAGGCUGAGACCUGGGAGGAAUUGAUGAACCAAAUGUGUCUGGGCUUUUCACUUCCUCGGCAUGAGUCAGCCAAGAAAGCCCACCUCUCCUCCCCAGCAGCGUGCAGGGCCUCUGCAGAUAAAUGUGCAGGAUAGCAGACCUGGGUGUGGUGCUGCCUGGCACUGAGCCAGCCCCCAGAUUCUUUGGCUGCAGAGUGGCCUGGCCAACUCACACAGGUAGCGCCCUUUUAUUCUUGGAAAAGGAAGCACCAGGUGGAAAGGGAGGUUAAAGGAGGGAACACAACUUUUUUCCAGACCCCUCUGCCCAGGAUGUUAAAGGUUGCUGGAAAAUGCCUUUGGUGGCUUUAAAUGUCACAGAUGACAUAUUCCAGGAUGGAUCCAGCCUCCACUGGACUUGGCCCCUCUAUUUUGAUUCCUGCCUUUCCCCAGCCUCAGCCCUGAGCGGCAUAAUAUCUACACGGGGUUAGCUGCAGGUGGAACUCAGAACACAGCUCCUAGACAAGUAGAGUGAGGCCUAUGGCUUCAUCAUCAAAAUGUAAAAUUUAAAUAUAUAAAUGAAUAAAGGCUAGAUAGACACAUAAAUAUACAUACACACAUACAUUUUGUCUGGUGCCAGGACCAAGGCCUUAUUACAGCUCAGAGCUCCACUUUGAGCACUUGAGGGCAGGAGGGGCUCCGAGCUUCUCUCCCCUCAAUGCUGCCGCAGGGUUCCUAAGCAAGGACCCACAUGUGGAGGCUCCUGAUCCCUGAACUGAAAGUCGACUCUCCAGUGCAACAGGUAAACUUGUUUGAGAACGUGGGACAUAACGACGUCUAAACUAUUGCUUCUUGGCAGCAUUGGAUGAUUAGGUCCUCGCUAAGGCUUGCCAAGGCCUGUCCUAGGAAAUGUUCCUGGGCUUGAUUUCAUCCUCACUGUUGAGAGAGUUUAUUCCUUAUAAGGUCCAUCUCAAUUCUCAGGGCACCGCAAGACAACGUAUCUCCCCUCUCCUGUGCAAUCAGUCAAAGAACAUUUAGUCAACCUGAACUGGGAGCACAGCGCUCCUGGGGCUGUUGGGCAUUCAAAAGAGGUAAGAUGUUGUGAAUCUACCAGGCAUCUGCACCCUUGUUGGGGAACCAAUCCAUAUACAGCAGCAACUGUUAAGUGGUGGCACCUGCUGGCUGUAGCACUUAAUAGGUAGGUGUGCAUGGAGUCAGACUGCCAGGUACACAGACCAGCUCUACCACUCACAGUAGUUGUGAUCUUGGGCAAAACACAAAACCUCCCUGAGCCUCUCAGUUUCUCACCCACUAGUACCACCUCACUAAGCAUGUUAGGAGGAGUCAAUGUGAUAGCCUAUGCAAAGUGCCUGGAAUAGUGCCUGGCACACAAGAGGUAUUCAAUACCUGCCAGCUGUUGUUGUUUUUCUGCAAAUGAAGUGUAAACCCCUUGAGGACAGAGAUGAGUGUCCAUAGCUGUUAUCUGCCACAGAGCCUUCCUUCCACAUAACAUAUGCUCGAGGGUUUGCUGACCUACUUUGAAGAAAGGGGCAACACGAGGGGAAUAUAGUUUUAUUGUGUAGGGUAAUUUCCUCCAGGAAAGAAAAAAACAGUGAAUCUGUGAAACUUGGUACAGAUUGUUAAAAAAAAACUCACUUUGUAAAAUAAAAGUAUUUUCAACUGCAAGUAUCCCUAUUUUUAAAUA